UACGUAGGGCGCAAGCGUUGUCCGGAAUUAUUGGGCGUAAAGAGCUCGUAGGCGGUUUGUCGCGUCUGCUGUGAAAACGCGAGGCUUAACCUCGCGCCUGCAGUGGGUACGGGCAGACUAGAGUGCGGUAGGGGAGACUGGAAUUCCUGGUGUAGCGGUGGAAUGCGCAGAUAUCAGGAGGAACACCGAUGGCGAAGGCAGGUCUCUGGGCCGUUACUGACGCUGAGGAGCGAAAGCAUGGGGAGCGAACAGG
Molecule: ribosomal RNA, 253 nt
Filed under: uncultured bacterium
Lineage: Bacteria
Description: partial 16S ribosomal RNA
Rfam family: Bacterial small subunit ribosomal RNA
Source: RNAcentral